GCUCCGGUGGCCAAGUGGUUAGAGCGUCUGCCACUGAUGCGGGAGGUCGUGGGUUCGAUCCCCGGUCGACUCA
Non-coding RNA from Potamilus streckersoni, 73 nucleotides. Lineage: Eukaryota; Metazoa; Mollusca; Bivalvia; Unionida; Unionidae. The record is from the annotation of a GenBank genome assembly.